CCACAGACCAUUUCUGCGGUUUGCGUUCGAAGGAUGGGCAUACCAGUACAAUGUCCUGCCCUUCGGUCUGUCCCUGUCUCCCAAUGUCUUUACAAAUGUU
Molecule: long non-coding RNA, 100 nt
Organism: Sinocyclocheilus grahami
Lineage: Eukaryota; Metazoa; Chordata; Actinopteri; Cypriniformes; Cyprinidae
Exons: 3
Source: RefSeq, a predicted model, not a curated record